RNAcentral lists this ribosomal RNA (468 nucleotides) under uncultured bacterium. Its description in RNAcentral is "partial 16S ribosomal RNA". It matches the Rfam family "Bacterial small subunit ribosomal RNA", at positions 28 to 507 of the family's 1533-position model. The record is from RNAcentral.
GACGAACGCUGGCGGCGUGCUUAACACAUGUAAGUCGAACGGAAAGGCCCUGCUUUUGUGGGGUGCUCGAGUGGCGAACGGGUGAGUAACACGUGAGUAACCUGCCCUUGACUUUGGGAUAACUUCAGGAAACUGGGGCUAAUACCGGAUAGGAGCUCCUGCUGCAUGGUGGGGGUUGGAAAGUUUCGGCGGUUGGGGAUGGACUCGCGGCUUAUCAGCUUGUUGGUGGGGUAGUGGCUCACCAAGGCUUUGACGGGUAGCCGGCCUGAGAGGGUGACCGGCCACAUUGGGACUGAGAUACGGCCCAGACUCCUACGGGAGGCAGCAGUGGGGAAUAUUGCACAAUGGGCGGAAGCCUGAUGCAGCAACGCCGCGUGCGGGAUGACGGCCUUCGGGUUGUAAACCGCUUUCGCCUGUGACGAAGCGUGAGUGACGGUAAUGGGUAAAGAAGCACCGGCUAACUACGUG